This 526-nucleotide ribosomal RNA is filed under the name Schwanniomyces polymorphus var. africanus. Its description in RNAcentral is "eukaryotic LSU rRNA". It matches the Rfam family "Eukaryotic large subunit ribosomal RNA", at positions 117 to 659 of the family's 3401-position model. The record is from RNAcentral. Lineage: Eukaryota; Fungi; Ascomycota; Pichiomycetes; Serinales; Debaryomycetaceae.
GAAAUCUGGCACCUUCGGUGUCCGAGUUGUAAUUUGAAGAAGGUAACUUUGGAGUUGGCUCUUGUCUAUGUUCCUUGGAACAGGACGUCACAGAGGGUGAGAAUCCCGUGCGAUGAGAUGCCCAAUUCUAUGUAAAGUGCUUUCGAAGAGUCGAGUUGUUUGGGAAUGCAGCUCUAAGUGGGUGGUAAAUUCCAUCUAAAGCUAAAUAUUGGCGAGAGACCGAUAGCGAACAAGUACAGUGAUGGAAAGAUGAAAAGAACUUUGAAAAGAGAGUGAAAAAGUACGUGAAAUUGUUGAAAGGGAAGGGCUUGAGAUCAGACUUGGUAUUUUGCAAGCCUUACCUUCGUGGUGGGGUCCCCUGCAGUUUACUGGGCCAGCAUCGGUUUGGAUGGUAGGAUAAUGACUUGGGAAUGUGACUUUGCUUCGGUAAAGUGUUAUAGCCCUUGUUGAUACUGCCUGUCUAGACCGAGGACUGCGUCUUUGACUAGGAUGCUGGCAUAAUGAUCUUAAGUCGCCCGUCUUGAAC